UGCUAGGCCCAGGCGGUACC
Molecule: unclassified non-coding RNA, 20 nt
Filed under: Mus musculus (house mouse)
Lineage: Eukaryota; Metazoa; Chordata; Mammalia; Rodentia; Muridae
Description: oocyte_clustered_small_RNA8836
Source: RNAcentral